GAUCCACCCUCUUCCUUACCUGACGAACUUUGCGCCCCUUUUUAUAUAGUUCAAGAAAAGGAAAAUAAGCAGAUAUACAUUUCACGACUAGUGCGUGACUGACUGUAAGCUAACAUCCCACUACAUGCCAGCGUCCUUCAGCCUCAUGCAGCCUUCUUGGCCGUAAUGAGGAAGUGAAAUUGCAAAUGGAUUGCAAAUGAAGAAAUCUCACCCAGGGGUGAUUUCCUCUUGGGCUACCAAUUAGGCUGUACAGACUGUGGUGCCAGGGGAAGGCCAGAACUUGUCAUGGAAGGUGAAAGCUGGGAUCCAUUGAACUGUUUGCUUGGAUGACAUGUAGACUUCCAAACAAAGGGUUUGGCAAAACGGCUUAAUGAGUAGAGCGACUUGCUGUCAAGCAUGAUGACCUGGGUUUCCUUGCCAAAGCAUGAUAACCUGGGUUUCCUCGCCAGAACAUAGACGCUGGAAGAAGAGAACCGACUUCUGCAAGCUGUCACCCUACCACACACUCGUUUAUAAACAAGUGCAUAAGUUACUGUAAAAAUUCAAAUUAAAGUCA
RNAcentral lists this small RNA (556 nucleotides) under Rattus norvegicus (Norway rat). RNAcentral's name for it is "uncharacterized LOC102550008". The record is from RNAcentral. Lineage: Eukaryota; Metazoa; Chordata; Mammalia; Rodentia; Muridae.